This 482-nucleotide ribosomal RNA is filed under the name uncultured bacterium. RNAcentral describes it as "bacterial SSU rRNA". It matches the Rfam family "Bacterial small subunit ribosomal RNA", at positions 29 to 506 of the family's 1533-position model. The record is from RNAcentral.
UUGAACGCUGGCGGCAUGCUUUACACAUGCAAGUCGAACGGCGGCGGGGGCUUCGGCCUGCCGGCGAGUGGCGAACGGGUGAGUAAUGCAUCGGAACGUACCCAGUCGUGGGGGAUAACUACGCGAAAGCGUAGCUAAUACCGCAUACGCCCUGAGGGGGAAAGCGGGGGAUCGCAAGACCUCGCGCGAGUGGAGCGGCCGAUAUCAGAUUAGCUAGUUGGUGGGGUAAAGGCCCACCAAGGCGACGAUCUGUAGCUGGUCUGAGAGGACGACCAGCCACACUGGGACUGAGACACGGCCCAGACUCCUACGGGAGGCAGCAGUGGGGAAUUUUGGACAAUGGGCGCAAGCCUGAUCCAGCAAUGCCGCGUGCAGGAUGAAGGCCUUCGGGUUGUAAACUGCUUUUGUACGGAGCGAAAAGGUCUGCCCUAAUACGGUGGGCUCAUGACGGUACCGUAAGAAUAAGCACCGGCUAACUACGU